CUACGGGGUGCAGCAGUGGGGAAUAUUGCACAGUGGGCGCGAGCCUGAUGCAGCCAUGCCGCGUGUAUGAAGAAGGCCUUCGGGUUGUAAAGUACUUUCAGCGGGGAGGAAGGGAGUAAAGUUAAUACCUUUGCUCAUUGACGUUACCCGCAGAAGAAGCACCGGCUAACUCCGUGCCAGCAGCCGCGGUAAUACGGAGGGUGCAAGCGUUAAUCGGAAUUACUGGGCGUAAAGCGCACGCAGGCGGUUUGUUAAGUCAGAUGUGAAAUCCCCGGGCUCAACCUGGGAACUGCAUCUGAUACUGGCAAGCUUGAGUCUCGUAGGGGGGGGUAGAAUUCCAGGUGUAGCGGUGAAAUGCGUAGAGAUCUGGAGGAAUACCGGUGGCGAAGGCGGCCCCCUGGACGAAGACUGACGCUCAGGUGCGAAAGCGUGGGGAGCAAACAGGAUUAGAUACCCGCGUAGUC
This 464-nucleotide ribosomal RNA is filed under the name uncultured bacterium. RNAcentral's name for it is "partial 16S ribosomal RNA". It matches the Rfam family "Bacterial small subunit ribosomal RNA", at positions 339 to 795 of the family's 1533-position model. The record is from RNAcentral.